GGUGGGAAGUUCUUGGAGGAAAUGAUGCCGGGGGUCUAUUUGGAAACAGCCUCUCUACCCCAGGGUAGGGGUAAGGUCUUCGUACACACUACCCUCCCCAGACCCNGGGAAGAAUGCCAGGGGUCUAUUUGGAAACAGCCUCUCUACCCCAGGGUAGGGGUAAGGUCUGCGUACAUACUACCCUCCUCAGACCCCACUAAGUGGAAUUAUACUGGGUUGUACUUUUAGAUCUUAAUACACAUCUUAAUAUAUUCAGAUGUGUAUUCAGAUUCAAACGUCUUAAUCUUAAUACUCAUCUUGAUAUUCAGAUUGAGACGUUU
Molecule: long non-coding RNA, 320 nt
Filed under: Nicotiana benthamiana
Lineage: Eukaryota; Viridiplantae; Streptophyta; Magnoliopsida; Solanales; Solanaceae
Description: long non-coding RNA (NBEN_LNC010917)
Source: RNAcentral